CCAGUGGAGAUGCUGUUACUU
Molecule: microRNA, 21 nt
Filed under: Chrysemys picta (Painted turtle)
Lineage: Eukaryota; Metazoa; Chordata; Testudines; Emydidae
Description: cpi-miR-194-3p
Gene: cpi-miR-194-3p
Source: miRBase by way of RNAcentral